UUCCUCGGCGCCGGCCUCUGCAUUGGCCUCCUCAACCCGACCACCAACAUCAUCUACAACACCCUCGUCGCCUCCGGCCUCCGCGCCGAGAAAGUCCAGGGCGGCGACAUGGCCGAGCGCUCCAUGGACGGCCUCGUCGCCUUCCUCACCUUCUUCUUCCGCUACCUCGCGGACUGGGAGGCCGUGCGCUACCUGCUCCGCGCCGACGGCGACCUCGUCUACGCGGUGCGCCUCGUCGCGCAUGGCCGGGCUCUCUCCCCCUUCCACCUGAACUCUGACGCCAGCAAGCCCGUCGUACGCACUGCCCUCAUGUGCGCCGCGCUGGCCUCCAAGCACACGGACGCCCACCACCUCGUCGACACCUGGCUGUCGCCGGUUCGCCCUCUGGAAGAAGCCGCCCACGCGAUCGAGAACGACAUCAAUAAAUUCACCAGUGAAUUCAGCCCACGGAAUCAUGGUCCUGGCAUGCAAACGCAGCCCCUUGAUUUCGCUUGGAAGCGCGCACUCGAGCUCCGUCAGUCCCCACCCACCGUCGUGCCGUAUCGACCUUACUGGUCCCUCAAAUUUGUGCUCCUCCAGCGGAUCCACGCCUUCUACCUCAAGGCGCUCGCCCUGAUGCCGGCGAGUGAGCUCCGGUCGUCGUGCUACCACCGCAGCAUGCUCAAGGCUGGCCACUGCUACGGCCCCUUCGACCCGGUCUCCAACAUCAUCAUCAACACCAUCUGGCACAACACCGUCUCCCCACCGAGCCAAAAACCUGAGAUUGACAUGAUCAGUACCGGCAGUCUGUUGCGCAUCGAGGCUCGCUCGUUCUACGGCCUUGUUUCCUUCCUCUGCACCUCCGGCAAGAACCUCUACGAAGCCAUGCGCUUCCUGCUCAUUACUGAUUGCACUCUGGGGAAGAGUGCUGCGCCCUUUUCGAACCCGUUAGCUCACUUCGGGGAUCAAGACAAAAUCUGUCAUGCCUUCAGGGCUGCCGAACAAACCCGCUGCAUGUACUGUGACUACGAAGGGACUAAAAUUGUGCACCCGGCUAUGGAGGAAUUCCAGUUCAAAGGGCGCGACCUGGAGUUUCAGAACAUGGCCUGU
RNAcentral lists this ribosomal RNA (1089 nucleotides) under Triticum aestivum (bread wheat). RNAcentral's name for it is "partial small subunit ribosomal RNA". Lineage: Eukaryota; Viridiplantae; Streptophyta; Magnoliopsida; Poales; Poaceae. The record is from RNAcentral.